RNAcentral lists this ribosomal RNA (629 nucleotides) under Austrogautieria sp. PDD 65099. RNAcentral describes it as "eukaryotic LSU rRNA". The stretch from base 243 to 397 matches the Rfam family "5.8S ribosomal RNA". Lineage: Eukaryota; Fungi; Basidiomycota; Agaricomycetes; Hysterangiales; Gallaceaceae. The record is from RNAcentral.
ACAAGGUUUCCGUAGGUGAACCUGCGGAAGGAUCAUUACAGAAUGCAAGAUGGGGUUAACGAUGCUGGCUUCGGCAAGUGCUCGCCCCUCGACUUCUAUCUACUCACACCUGUGCACCUAGCGAACGCCUCCCAUUAGGAGCCGCCCCAUGUCUUUGGGGUCGAGGCGUUCACUCUUACCUUCACACCAAUGCCUGUAACGACGCAUGUUUACUGAGCUCCAAGGAGCGCAAAUGUUAAUACAACUUUCAACAACGGAUCUCUUGGCUUUCGCAUCGAUGAAGAACGCCGCGAAAGUGCGAAACGUAAUGUGAAUUGCAGAAUUCAGUGAAUCAUCGAAUCUUUGAACGCAUCUUGCGCUCCUCGGCAUUCCGAGGAGCAUGCCUGUUUGAGUGUCGUGAAGUCUCUCAACCCUCACUUGUAUUUGUGGGGUUGGAUUUGGACGCUGCCGUCUUGACGGAGGGCUCGUCUCGAAAUGCAUUAGCUGUUCCCACCUCGGUUCUAUUGACAACGGUGUGAUAAGAAAUUGUUCUCGUCGGUGUCGUAGACCAUAGUGGCGGCUUACAAUCGUCCCUCGCGGACAACGAUCACGUCAUCUGACCUCAAAUCAGGUAGGACUACCCGCUGAAC